RNAcentral lists this ribosomal RNA (440 nucleotides) under uncultured bacterium. Its description in RNAcentral is "partial 16S ribosomal RNA". It matches the Rfam family "Bacterial small subunit ribosomal RNA", at positions 338 to 795 of the family's 1533-position model. The record is from RNAcentral.
CCUACGGGAGGCAGCAGUGGGGAAUAUUGCACAAUGGGCGAAACCCUGAUGCAGCGACGCCGCGUGGGUGACGAAGUAUUUCGGUAUGUAAAGCCCUAUCAGCAGGGAAGAAGAUGACAGUACCUGACUAAGAAGCCCCGGCUAACUACGUGCCAGCAGCCGCGGUAAUACGUAGGGGGCCAGCGUUAUCCGGAAUCACUGGGCGUAAAGGGCGCGUAGGCGGUAAUAUAAGUCAGAUGUGAAAGGUGGGGGCUCAACCCCUAGAGUGCAAGUGAUACUGUAUAACGUGAGUGUGAGAGAGGGAAGCGGAAUUCCUAGUGUAGCGGUGAAAUGCGUAGAUAUUAGGAGGAACACCAGUGGCGAAGGCGGCUUUCUGGCUCAUAACUGACGCUGAGGCGCGAAAGCGUGGGGAGCAAACAGGAUUAGAUACCCCUGUAGUC